This 2929-nucleotide long non-coding RNA is filed under the name Bemisia tabaci. RNAcentral's name for it is "lncRNA ENSASIAIIG008417". Lineage: Eukaryota; Metazoa; Arthropoda; Insecta; Hemiptera; Aleyrodidae. The record is from RNAcentral.
GAGAGAUACAUAAUACUGUGUUGCAAUGGAAUUUGAUAGCCGGCUGCUAGAAGUGAAAGCUGCUCUGGAGCAGUCUGAAGUGAAAAUGGGAGUGAAGUUGAAAUCAUUCGGAUUUUCCACUUCUGAAGGGACAAAAAAUCAAAUCAAUCUGUUAGUCGAAUCUCUGAGCAAAAUCAAAUUGAUGGCAAACAGUGAUGAAGAAGAUAAACGUAGAUUUCACCUUUUUCUCCUUGUUAAUACGGAAUUACCAGUUUCAAACAUUCUGGAAGAAGAUAGAGACUGGUGCCAUUUGAUUGGAAGAUGUCCAAAACUGAGUGCAUUUACUUACUUCAUUAUUGUACAGCGGUUAGAACUGUUUCCAUUAAUGGCCGAAACAAUUUUACAUGCACCUAACAAACUGAGCGAAGCCUUGUUGGCAGUAUUUACUGACUUUGUGAAGCACAUAUCGGAUCCUUACGAUGAACUUAAUGCACUUCGAGUUAUUUUAACAAGUGUCUACAAGAAACUUAGUUACAAAAUCUCCCUUCAGUCUUGUAAUACCAAGCUGAUAAAACAAUUUCAAGAAAUUGUACUAAUAUUCAAAAAACCAAGUCAGCUAACUGCUCAGAAAUUAGUGUCUUGGUCAAGUGUGGAGCAGCAUAAGUAUUACGGCUUUUUAGUUCUUAAUUUGAUUUCUCUCCUGUUAGAAUGCACAAAAUUCAGCUUCGAAAAGACUUCUACAGAAGACAGCUUACUUGAAUCUCUGAAUAAUUUAUAUGGUUUCUCAAGCUUUAAAGUUUCUUCUAAAGCUGCAGAGGAAGAUGAGAAUGAAAUAUCAGAGUGCUAUGAGGUAAUAGUUGCAAUCAGUAAAACAUUCUUGCAGGACAAAAUCAGUUCAAAUGUAUUUUUGGACUGGUGUGAAGUAGACAUCACUGAAACAAAGACGCUCCAGCGACUUGUCGGUGAGAAAAUAUAUAUUUGCCGUGAAGCCUUAACAGCUGCUUUAGAUUCCAAGCUUUCAAGUAAGAAUUUGAAAAAUUCUCUCAAAGAUCUAACUUACUGUUUGAGCCACCUGGAGAUAAAACCACUCUCUCUAGCUGAAGAAAUGAAAGAAAUGAAUUUUAAACAACUCUUGCUCAAAUUUGAUGAGACUGUCAAAACGAAUUCCUGUGAAGACAGUUCACGAGUUUUACAAACGAUCCUGAAAAGAGAGGAAGCUCACCUAGAGCCUGUAGAAAUUAUGAAGGUUUUGAAUAAAGCUGCUGUCAAUAUGAAGUAUGAAGAUAUCAAACUUUUGAUCCACACUUACAAUCCAAAAUCCAGUCAGAAUAUGGAGGAAACAUUCAGUCAAUUACAGAAAACUAUAUUUGAGUCUGUGAGGAACUUGCAGGUUGAUGAACAAGUUUCUUUACUAGAAGAGUAUCUCGUGGCUUACGGCGAUAGCCAACCUUACAACAAACAGUCGAUUAAUUUUGAUGAAAAGUUGGUAGAAGUUUUCAAUAAGUUCGUCUCCAGUGAUUUGUCCUCCACUGAGUCUCUGUUUUUGUCUGACAUUGUAUUCCUGAGCUUCUACUCCAUUGGAGAUGUUGUUGUAAAAAUUCUAAUGGAGUCCCUUCAAAAUACGAAUUACAUCAAGGAUAUGGUGCCAAUUUUGAAAGCUUUGAGACCAUCUUUACAGAGUAUCCAGUCUCUUAGUCUUGAGAAUAAGUUGAAAAUUACAUCAAAGAUUUCUGAGGAUUCAGAGAAAGUAAAGUCGACUCUAGAACAGUCCCACAAAGAUCUCUUACUGGACCUGCUGCAUAUUUUGAUCUUUGAUGAAGACACAAAACAAAAUGCGGCAAAACGUAGUAAUCUUUUGGACCUGGUCAAUUACUUGAUUGAUGAAUCUGUGAUAGAGAGGAAUACAUUUUAUGUCGAAGUGGUUCUAAACAAUAUCUACCUCAGCCCAAACACAUCUAAUGCAACUGUGAAUUUUCUUCUUCAAAUGUUAUUCAAAGCCCUGGUUGAAUCCUCAGAUGAAUCACUUGAAAUUGAAAUUAAUGCUGUGGUUAUUCAACUGGCCCAACUUCUCGAGAAAAUUCGAUGGGAUCCAAAGAAUUUUGCCUCUUGGCGCACAGCUAUGGUUUCAAAUUUGGUUUGCUUGAUUUCUUCUAUUGUGAAAAAGUUUUCCUCCCAGCUGUUAGCAGAUCCAAAAAAGUCCGCAUGGAUGAAAUCUCAUAUCAAGACAUUUUCGGCUCAAACACAGUUCCUAUUCUCCCCUGAAAUCCUUCCGCCUUCAUCAAUUGCAGCAAGUGUAUCGUACGGGAAAGAGCCAAAUGUCUUUGUCCUUGCUCUAAAUGCAAUGCACAAUGACAAAUUUGACUUGUCUGUUCUCAGUAAAAUCUCUAAAAUUGAGAUGGCCUGGGCAUUAUUUUCGACAUUGUCCACCAGCUGCGAUGAAGAAUGGAAUUUUUUCAGUCUAACUUUAAGCCGUAAUAAGCUGUUCAAUGGAGAGUCUGCACUCUUAAUCUUCAACUUACUAGUCAAUUCUUUCCUGGUGGGAAUUUAUACUUUGGAAAUGAAGCUCGGCGAGGACAACACUCAAAGUCGCCCGUUAACCAACUGUUGCCAGUAUGCCUUGGUCAACCUAAAUAGUUUCAUAAUGAACUUUUUAUUGAAACAUCUGUUGACACUUUCCACAUCCAAGAAAGUCCAUUGUUUUAGGAAGCUCGCUCUUCUUCUCCAGACAGUCCCAGCCAAAAUUAGAUCUCAGAUCUCAAUAUCAUACUUGAAAUUACUCAUAAGUUUUAUACCUCAUUUGGUUGACAGUAUUGACAGUAGUGCAAGUGCUGUAUUAUUCACGGAAAUCGUCUACAAUGCAAUUUGCAACUUUGAUCUGGAGACACGUCAGCUUAUCGCAAAAAAAGCUGAAUCAUACUUGCGUAAGGAAGCUCCAGCUGUGUUCUCUUAA